GUCAGGCAUGGUGGCGCACUCCUGUAAUUCCAGAGACUCAGGAGGCUGAGACAGGAGGAUUGCAAGUUCAAGGCUAGCCUGGGCAACUUAGAGAGACCCUGUCUCAC
Molecule: small RNA, 107 nt
Filed under: Marmota monax (woodchuck)
Lineage: Eukaryota; Metazoa; Chordata; Mammalia; Rodentia; Sciuridae
Source: RNAcentral